RNAcentral lists this long non-coding RNA (359 nucleotides) under Elaeis guineensis (African oil palm). Its description in RNAcentral is "long non-coding RNA (EGUI_LNC022312)". Lineage: Eukaryota; Viridiplantae; Streptophyta; Magnoliopsida; Arecales; Arecaceae. The record is from RNAcentral.
GCUUCUUCUUGUCUGACUUCCAUUGGAGAGAUAUAUACUCUUUGAAUGAAGUCAUUGGUGUUGAACGGGAAUGGUUGCACCAUCGAUCUAUGAUUCUAAUGGCGAAGUAGUUACAAGAUAGAGAUAUUGAGCACCAGUCAGCGUACAGAAUAAUGGACACGGCUGGAGAACUUGUGGCACAGGUGAUGUAUCUUUAACUCUAGGAUUAGAGAAGUUGAUCCAAUGAUUUGUUUACGCAUGGCAAACAAACGCUUAGUAACUCAAGUUACCAUACGCUAGCUAGCUAAGAAGAACUCAUAAAACCAACCCUAGAAAGAUCACAUCAUUGGAUGCUUAUAACCAAGUUAAUUGGUGACUAC